AUUGAACGCUGGCGGAAUGCUUUACACAUGCAAGUCGAACGGUAGAGGGGGCAACCCCUCGAGAGUGGCGAACGGGUGAGUAAUAUAUCGGAACGUGCCUAGUCGUGGGGGAUAACGUAGCGCAAGUUACGCUAAUACCGCAUACGAUCUAAGGAUGAAAGCGGGGGCUCGCAAGACCUCGCGCGCUUGGAGCGGCGGAUAUCAGAGUCGGUAGUUGGUGGGGUAAAGGCUCACCCAGCCAACGAUCUGUAGCUGGUCUGAGGGGACGACCAGCCACACUGGAACUGAGACACGGUCCAGACUCCGACGGGAGGCAGCAGUGGGGAAUUUUGGACAAUGGGGGCAAGCCUGAUCCAGCCAUUCCGCGGGCAGGACGAAGGCCUUCGGGUUGUAAACUGCUUUUGGACGGAACGAAAAGGCGCUGGUUAAUACCUGGGGCUCAUGACGGUACCGUAAGAAUAAGCACCGGCUAACUACGUGCCAGCAGCCGCAGUAA
This 496-nucleotide ribosomal RNA is filed under the name uncultured bacterium. RNAcentral's name for it is "partial 16S ribosomal RNA". It matches the Rfam family "Bacterial small subunit ribosomal RNA", at positions 29 to 523 of the family's 1533-position model. The record is from RNAcentral.